RNAcentral lists this ribosomal RNA (811 nucleotides) under Aeribacillus pallidus. RNAcentral's name for it is "bacterial SSU rRNA". It matches the Rfam family "Bacterial small subunit ribosomal RNA", at positions 37 to 826 of the family's 1533-position model. The record is from RNAcentral. Lineage: Bacteria; Bacillati; Bacillota; Bacilli; Caryophanales; Bacillaceae.
UUCCGGCCUGCCUGGAUAAAUGCAAGUCGCGCGGACCGCAAGGGAGCUUGCUCCUUUAGGUUAGCGGCGGACGGGUGAGUAACACGUGGGCAACCUGCCCUGCAGACUGGGAUAACUUCGGGAAACCGGAGCUAAUACCGGAUAACACCGAAAACCGCAUGGUUUUCGGUUGAAAGGCGGCUUUUAGCUGUCACUGCAGGAUGGGCCCGCGGCGCAUUAGCUAGUUGGUGAGGUAACGGCUCACCAAGGCGACGAUGCGUAGCCGACCUGAGAGGGUGACCGGCCACACUGGGACUGAGACACGGCCCAGACUCCUACGGGAGGCAGCAGUAGGGAAUCUUCCGCAAUGGACGAAAGUCUGACGGAGCAACGCCGCGUGAGCGAAGAAGGUCUUCGGAUCGUAAAGCUCUGUUGUCAGGGAAGAACAAGUGCCGUUCGAACAGGGCGGUACCUUGACGGUACCUGACGAGGAAGCCACGGCUAACUACGUGCCAGCAGCCGCGGUAAUACGUAGGUGGCAAGCGUUGUCCGGAAUUAUUGGGCGUAAAGCGCGCGCAGGCGGUUCCUUAAGUCUGAUGUGAAAUCUCGCGGCUCAACCGCGAGCGGCCAUUGGAAACUGGGGAACUUGAGUGCAGGAGAGGGGAGCGGAAUUCCACGUGUAGCGGUGAAAUGCGUAGAGAUGUGGAGGAACACCAGUGGCGAAGGCGGCUCUCUGGCCUGUAACUGACGCUGAGGCGCGAAAGCGUGGGGAGCGAACAGGAUUAGAUACCCUGGUAGUCCACGCCGUAAACGAUGAGUGGCUAAGUGGUUA